AGAGUUUGAUCCUGGCUCAGAACGAACGCUGGCGGCAGGCUUAACACAUGCAAGUCGAACGCACCUUCGGGUGAGUGGCAGACGGGUGAGUAACGCGUGGGAACGUGCCCUUCAGUUCGGAAUAACCCAGGGAAACUUGGGCUAAUACCGGAUACGUGCGAGAGCAGAAAGAUUUAUCGCUGAAGGAUCGGCCCGCGUCUGAUUAGCUAGUUGGUGGGGUAAUGGCCCACCAAGGCGACGAUCAGUAGCUGGUCUGAGAGGAUGAUCAGCCACAUUGGGACUGAGACACGGCCCAAACUCCUACGGGAGGCAGCAGUGGGGAAUAUUGGACAAUGGGCGCAAGCCUGAUCCAGCCAUGCCGCGUGAGUGAUGAAGGCCUUAGGGUUGUAAAGCUCUUUCGGCGGGGACGAUAAUGACGGUACCCGCAGAAGAAGCCCCGGCUAACUUCGUGCCAGCAGCCGCGGUAAUACGAAGGGGGCUAGCGUUGUUCGGAAUCACUGGGCGUAAAGGGCGCGUAGGCGGCUUGAUAAGUCGGGGGUGAAAGCCUGUGGCUCAACCACAGGAUUGCCUUCGAUACUGUCUGGCUUGAGACCGGAAGAGGUAAGUGGAACUGCGAGUGUAGAGGUGAAAUUCGUAGAUAUUCGCAAGAACACCAGUGGCGAAGGCGGCUUACUGGUCCGGUUCUGACGCUGAGGCGCGAAAGCGUGGGGAGCAAACAGGAUUAGAUACCCUAGUAGUCC
RNAcentral lists this ribosomal RNA (740 nucleotides) under uncultured bacterium. RNAcentral's name for it is "bacterial SSU rRNA". It matches the Rfam family "Bacterial small subunit ribosomal RNA", at positions 8 to 796 of the family's 1533-position model. The record is from RNAcentral.